This 753-nucleotide ribosomal RNA is filed under the name uncultured bacterium. RNAcentral describes it as "bacterial SSU rRNA". It matches the Rfam family "Bacterial small subunit ribosomal RNA", at positions 96 to 826 of the family's 1533-position model. The record is from RNAcentral.
UGGCAGACGGGUGAGUAAUGCAUAGGUAAUCUACCCUUGAGUGGGGGAUAACUUAUCGAAAGGUAAGCUAAUCCCGCAUAAUGUCGUGAUACAUAAGUGUUGCGAAAAAAGGGGGGGAUCCUUCGGGACCUCUCGCUUGGGGAUGUGCCUAUGUCCUAUUAGCUAGUUGGUGAGGUAAUGGCUCACCAAGGCUCUGAUGGGUAGCCGAGCUGAGAGGCUGAUCGGCCACACUGGAACUGAAACACGGUCCAGACUCCUACGGGAGGCAGCAGUGGGGAAUUUUGCGCAAUGGGCGAAAGCCUGACGCAGCGACGCCGCGUGAGGGAUGAAGGCCUUCGAGGUUGUAAACCUCUGUCAGGAAGGAUUAAGGUUCAAGAGUUAAUAACUCUUUGAAAUUGACUUAACUUCCAGAGGAAGCUCCGGCUAACUACGUGCCAGCAGCCGCGGUAAUACGUAGGGGGCUAACGUUACUCGGAUUUACUGGGCGUAAAGCGAGUGUAGGCGGUUGAGUAAGUCAGUGGUGAAAGCCCUCAGCUUAACUGAGGAAUUGCCUUUGAUACUGCUUGACUUGAGGACAGGAGAGGAAAGUGGAAUUCCCGGUGUAGCGGUGGAAUGCGUAGAUAUCGGGAGGAACACCAGAGGCGAAGGCGGCUUUCUGGACUGAUCCUGACGCUGAGACUCGGAAGCUAGGGGAGCAAACAGGAUUAGAUACCCUGGUAGUCCUAGCCGUAAACGAUGGAUACUAGAUCUUGC